RNAcentral lists this unclassified non-coding RNA (494 nucleotides) under Hevea brasiliensis (rubber tree). Lineage: Eukaryota; Viridiplantae; Streptophyta; Magnoliopsida; Malpighiales; Euphorbiaceae. The record is from RNAcentral.
GGAAAGGGAUAUUAGGAAGUAAUCAAAAGAUAUUGAAUGAAAGAAGUAACAAGUCCUUCUCAUGCAUCAGGUGUCAAAACAAAAAUUUGAAUUGAAUAAGUUACAGAACAAAAUUUAAAAAUAGUUGGAGAUAAAAUAAAAGAACUCAUCAAGAUGAUGCACACACUCUACUCAAAUAAGAUAUUAGCAAUUUAAUCCAAAUAAAGUGCUAAAUUAACAGCUUACCUAUUAUCAGGAAGUCUACUAAGCAUAAUAAGUGAGAAACGGCAUACACCCAGAAUUUGAAGUACACUAAGGUUAAACAUUAAAUCAUGAACCACCUUUGCUCUGAACUAGACACAAAUGAAUAACUAAAAAAUUAAUCAAUAAAAACACAGCUUUUUUUGUUCCUCAUGAAUAAAAUUUUAGUUUAGGUCCAUGUUCAAUGAAAAAUAGUCAAUAACUUGUCAAGAAUUCCAAUAUAAAUUAAGCAUGUAACAGCCAAAUAAAAAAAA